CCGUGGCCACACUCCAGCUCUGCGUCGCCGAACGCUGCCUCGUCUUCCAGAUUCUCCACUCCCCUUCAAUCCCUCCCUCUCUUGUUUCCUUCCUCGCUGACCCUAACAUCACUUUCGUUGGUGUUGGGAUCCAAGAAGACGUGGAGAAGCUUCUAGAAGAUUAUAAUCUUAACGUGGCGAAUGUUCGUGACCUUCGCUCCUUCGCUGCGGAGAGGCUUGGCGACCUUGAGCUGAAACGGGCCGGGCUCAAGUCUUUGGGCCUCCGCGUGCUGGGCCUGGAAGUUGCCAAGCCCAAGCGGGUCACCAGGAGUAGG
This 314-nucleotide long non-coding RNA is filed under the name Glycine max (soybean). Its description in RNAcentral is "long non-coding RNA (GMAX_LNC001495)". Lineage: Eukaryota; Viridiplantae; Streptophyta; Magnoliopsida; Fabales; Fabaceae. The record is from RNAcentral.